Molecule: ribosomal RNA, 1451 nt
Filed under: bacterium ST6
Lineage: Bacteria
Description: 16S ribosomal RNA
Rfam family: Bacterial small subunit ribosomal RNA
Source: RNAcentral
GCGGCAGGCCUAACACAUGCAAGUCGAGCGGAAACGAGUUAUCUGAACCUUCGGGGAACGAUAACGGCGUCGAGCGGCGGACGGGUGAGUAAUGCCUAGGAAAUUGCCCUGAUGUGGGGGAUAACCAUUGGAAACGAUGGCUAAUACCGCAUGAUGCCUACGGGCCAAAGAGGGGGACCUUCGGGCCUCUCGCGUCAGGAUAUGCCUAGGUGGGAUUAGCUAGUUGGUGAGGUAAGGGCUCACCAAGGCGACGAUCCCUAGCUGGUCUGAGAGGAUGAUCAGCCACACUGGAACUGAGACACGGUCCAGACUCCUACGGGAGGCAGCAGUGGGGAAUAUUGCACAAUGGGCGCAAGCCUGAUGCAGCCAUGCCGCGUGUGUGAAGAAGGCCUUCGGGUUGUAAAGCACUUUCAGUCGUGAGGAAGGUAGUGUAGUUAAUAGCUGCAUUAUUUGACGUUAGCGACAGAAGAAGCACCGGCUAACUCCGUGCCAGCAGCCGCGGUAAUACGGAGGGUGCGAGCGUUAAUCGGAAUUACUGGGCGUAAAGCGCAUGCAGGUGGUUUGUUAAGUCAGAUGUGAAAGCCCGGGGCUCAACCUCGGAAUAGCAUUUGAAACUGGCAGACUAGAGUACUGUAGAGGGGGGUAGAAUUUCAGGUGUAGCGGUGAAAUGCGUAGAGAUCUGAAGGAAUACCGGUGGCGAAGGCGGCCCCCUGGACAGAUACUGACACUCAGAUGCGAAAGCGUGGGGAGCAAACAGGAUUAGAUACCCUGGUAGUCCACGCCGUAAACGAUGUCUACUUGGAGGUUGUGGCCUUGAGCCGUGGCUUUCGGAGCUAACGCGUUAAGUAGACCGCCUGGGGAGUACGGUCGCAAGAUUAAAACUCAAAUGAAUUGACGGGGGCCCGCACAAGCGGUGGAGCAUGUGGUUUAAUUCGAUGCAACGCGAAGAACCUUACCUACUCUUGACAUCCAGAGAACUUUCCAGAGAUGGAUUGGUGCCUUCGGGAACUCUGAGACAGGUGCUGCAUGGCUGUCGUCAGCUCGUGUUGUGAAAUGUUGGGUUAAGUCCCGCAACGAGCGCAACCCUUAUCCUUGUUUGCCAGCGAGUAAUGUCGGGAACUCCAGGGAGACUGCCGGUGAUAAACCGGAGGAAGGUGGGGACGACGUCAAGUCAUCAUGGCCCUUACGAGUAGGGCUACACACGUGCUACAAUGGCGCAUACAGAGGGCGGCCAACUUGCGAAAGUGAGCGAAUCCCAAAAAGUGCGUCGUAGUCCGGAUUGGAGUCUGCAACUCGACUCCAUGAAGUCGGAAUCGCUAGUAAUCGUGGAUCAGAAUGCCACGGUGAAUACGUUCCCGGGCCUUGUACACACCGCCCGUCACACCAUGGGAGUGGGCUGCAAAAGAAGUAGGUAGUUUAACCUUCGGGGGGACGCUUACCACUUUGUGGUU